Triticum dicoccoides is the source of this 1656-nucleotide long non-coding RNA. RefSeq lists it as uncharacterized. Lineage: Eukaryota; Viridiplantae; Streptophyta; Magnoliopsida; Poales; Poaceae. The transcript has 2 exons. The record is from RefSeq and is a predicted model, not a curated record.
AAGGAUCCAUCCCACUCCCCACGUCCUUUCCUAAUCAACAUCGGGCAGUUUAGAGUCAGUCUCGACGGCAACCAGCACGAUGUGGGUGGCCAACGUGUAGACGACGGAGAGGUGCUCGGUGGUUUGCUCAGGAGCAAGUCCUUGAUAGCAAGUUUCCACUCCAUCACCUAGGUGAGCCCCCGUCUUCCUCCUCCGCCGCCGCCUCCACCGGCAGGAUCCCCCUCAUAAUGGCCUUCCUCGCCUGCCUCGCCUGGCUGUACGUCGCCGGCCAGCUAUGGCAGGACGCGCAGACCCGGGCGACCCUCUCCGGUCAGGCUCUCCGGCCUCCUCGAGAAGAGCAGCAGUAAUGUGCGAAUCUCUCAAUCCCCCUCUCUGCCCACCUCUCGUUUUUCUCAAUUUUUCCUGGCGGUGGCACUUGAUUGCAGCUCCCCAAGGAGAUCCUGGUGGACGACAAGCCGAAGGACCUGGGAUGCACGUAAUUUAUUGGUUCCUUUCUGGUGUGACUUGUUCUUCUGGUUUGUUGAUUCAAAAUGGGUUGUUUGGUUUUGGAGGAUGGAGGGAUUGAGAGGAAGAUCGCCGAGGUGGAGAUGGACAUUGCCAAGGAGAAGAGCGAGGGGUAUUGUGGGGGAAUGAGGCUGGUGCUGGUACCGGUACCAAGGGUUCCGACAGAAAGAAGUUCAUUGCCCUCAUUUGAGUUUACACUAGCUUUGGCUCACAUAAAAAACACCACCCGAGCACCUCUCGGUGUGCCGUCAUGUUUACAUCUUGAAUAUUUUUCUUGAUUAAGUAAAAAAACUGGUUUAACUCAUUCUUUUGUGUUGACAUACACUCAUAGUAAGGAUUGAACUCGCGAUGGUAAUGAUGAGUCUGCAAGGUCAAGGUCAUAUGGUCUAAUUACCAAAUCACAGAAAGGAGAGGAGGAAGCUGAGCUUCGCCCUUUUUCUGUCCAGGAGAGAAGGUUAUUUUUUUGAUUGAAACCUGCACCUUGUAUUGGGUCUGGAGGAAAUUUUUCUCUGUGUCUAUAGUUGUUGUAUCUUAGUACUCCGUAGUGUACUGCCAGUACCAUGGCAUACCAAUUGUUCGGACAGAUCAAAAGGCAAGUUAAAGGUCAAUUAGAUAAAUGCUACUAUACUUCCACAUCUCACAUCUCAUUUACUACCUUGUAUCAGCAUUACUUGAAACACAUUUAUGCAGUCACGCAUCUCACCUUGAUUUUUUUUCUUUUGAAUUUUGCUUGUAUUGGAACUAUAUACAUUUGCACUGUCUAGUUAUGCUCGCUGGUUGAAUUUUCAGCAUUUGAAUCCGCCUCAAAGGAGAAACAAGGCAUUAGCUAGUACCAUAAAUGACAAGAUAGCUUGGCCAUGACUCUAUCAACUUGCCUGGGUCCAAGUCCAACACUCACAAGCUUCUUCAUCUGUAACAAACAUCAAUCUUGGGAGCGUUAGUUGAAGAGCCGGUGUUCUACAGUCUAGAAAAAGGAUAUAGAAGAAGUCAUUGUCACUACUCCUACUAGAAUAUUCAGUCGAAGAAGAAAACUUCUUGUUCUGGCUGCUGGUUAAUUGCAACUGACUUUAUCAACAUGUUAAUGUCAUACAUGUUAUUGCUCUGCUACUUAGUUGCGAGUUUUUUUUUUAAAGAGACCAGCAUUUACACAUC